RNAcentral lists this transfer RNA (67 nucleotides) under Hypera postica (alfalfa weevil). Its description in RNAcentral is "tRNA-Ser". RNAcentral also lists the same sequence under 2 other names. Lineage: Eukaryota; Metazoa; Arthropoda; Insecta; Coleoptera; Curculionidae. The record is from RNAcentral.
GAAACAUGAAAAUCAAGAAAAAGCUUCUAACUUAUUUCUUAAGCGGAGUAUUACCGUUUAUGUUUCU